Molecule: unclassified non-coding RNA, 365 nt
Filed under: Ulex micranthus
Lineage: Eukaryota; Viridiplantae; Streptophyta; Magnoliopsida; Fabales; Fabaceae
Description: partial contains external transcribed spacer and 18S ribosomal RNA
Source: RNAcentral
UGUUCACUCAUGGUUCUUGUGUUGCCUACCCGUUUAGCGGUAUUCAUGUGCCUCUUAAGACCCGUUCCAUCCAGACCCCUUCUAGGGAGUGCUGGUGAGUUCGAAAGUGAUGCAUGUUUUGCGUUAGCUGUGCAUUGUAACAGCUGGCGUGCUAACAUGUGUCUACUGUUCCCUCGGAUGCGGUGCAUGCGGUGAACGUGGGCUGACGAUUGUGCCCCGUUGAGUCCAUUUUAAUUAUCGGUUGCCUUGAAUGACACUUUGUCGUAGUGCUAGUGUUGCUUUACCAUUCGUGGUGGCAACAGUAGCACGUCGAGCAGAGUCGUUGAUGGAUGCUACCUGGUUGAUCCUGCCAGUAGUCAUAUGCU